Molecule: long non-coding RNA, 1286 nt
Organism: Aedes aegypti (yellow fever mosquito)
Lineage: Eukaryota; Metazoa; Arthropoda; Insecta; Diptera; Culicidae
Exons: 2
Source: RefSeq, a predicted model, not a curated record
UGAUUGUAAAAGAAACCUAGCAGUGACGCAGACAACUGAGCGAUACGAGCUCCCAUUCUAACGCUGUCAUGUGGAGUCUAGAAGUGUAAUGGGGAGAUGUGGAAAGUCUAUUGAUACAUUUCAUCAUGCCGGAUUGUUCUCCGAGAUUGUCCGAAUCGGAAGACACGAGUGUGACACUAUGCAUAAGAAGAAGGUGUUCCGUAUGGCGCCCUUAGCGACAUCCAGCUGAGUUCACAGGGACAGACUAGGUAUGCAUAUGUAAGCCGUGGAUCAGUAACCUCUGAUGGAAGUUAUCACCCAGUGGCCCACGCACCACAGCAAAGUAAAGCAAUCGUCAUUCGUCAGUUGGUCACAUGGAUUAUCGCUGACGACGACAAAACAUCCGCGCGGUAUCGCGUAUCAUUCUGAUUGUUUAGGCUAGGAGGCAAUAUCGUUUUGUUUAUUGUGAGGUUUGAUGAAAGUAAAAUAAAGAAUGUCCAGGCAGUUCAUUUCUGACCGUGAUCGAGAGUAGACUUUUUUUAAAAAAGCCGAACCGUCCGUCGAAGACUUAACUGGCGCCCGAAUCUGGGACCUGAUAGUAAUUGUAUAAGUUCAGUCGAACGAAGCCACCUUCAGCUGCCUCCAAGAGAGAAUUCGUCAUCCCGGACCCAGAGCCAUCAUCAAUCAAGUUGGUGAUUUGAGGAGACGGAGCGCGAAGAGGUGCACUACCAGGAUACCCAACCCCGGAAAUAGGACCAUCCAGGACUGAGGCGUUGUCCCGCAGUACAAACCGUACUUCCUGAGCUUCAAAGGACUUUCCAGGACCUAGGCGUUGUCCCGCAGCAUGCGAUUGUGCUUCCUGAUUCUCUUAAUCCCACACAUACUUUGUAACAACAUCGAAAUUCACAACGUUAGCAACGAUCCAGUAGUCAUAGUGAAGAUAGGAGAAGCAAGAAUCAUAGAAGGAUACCAGAAAUUCGUACAUGCCAUCAACAUAACGGACAUAGAACAGUCAAUAUCGCAGAUAGAAAGUCACAUAUCCACAGUAAACAUCAGCCAUCCAGAACUAAUCACACUACUGAAACGAAAGACAGACGACCUAAGAAAUAAUAUAAAACAACUCAAACCAAGACGAAAACAAAAACGUUGGGACGCGCUAGGACGAGCAUGGAAAUGGAUGUCUGGUUCACCUGACGCUGACGACCUUAGAAUAAUUACAAAAGGCAUAAACGAAAUGGUCGACAAUAGUAACAAACAAAUCAAAAUUAACGACCAAGUUUUUGAUAGUUUAGGAAACCUCACAGAAA